UACAGAGGUCCCGAGCGUUGUUCGGAUUCACUGGGCGUAAAGGGUGCGUAGGUGGCUGGGAUAGUCUGAUGUGAAAUCUCCGAGCUCAACUUGGAAACUGCAUUGGAUACUUCCCGGCUAGAGGGUCGGAGGGGGGACUGGAAUUCUCGGUGUAGCAGUGAAAUGCGUAGAUAUCGAGAGGAACACCAGUGGCGAAGGCGAGUCCCUGGACGACUCCUGACACUGAGGCACGAAGGCUAGGGGAGCAAACAGG
Molecule: unclassified non-coding RNA, 253 nt
Filed under: uncultured Verrucomicrobiota bacterium
Lineage: Bacteria; Pseudomonadati; Verrucomicrobiota
Description: uncultured Verrucomicrobia bacterium contains 16S-23S intergenic spacer region
Rfam family: Bacterial small subunit ribosomal RNA
Source: RNAcentral